UGGCUCAGAGGUUAAGAGCACUGACUGCUCAUCCAGAGGACCUGGGUUCAAUUCCCAG
RNAcentral lists this transfer RNA (58 nucleotides) under Neotoma lepida (desert woodrat). The record is from Rfam by way of RNAcentral. Lineage: Eukaryota; Metazoa; Chordata; Mammalia; Rodentia; Cricetidae.